This 460-nucleotide ribosomal RNA is filed under the name uncultured bacterium. RNAcentral's name for it is "partial 16S ribosomal RNA". It matches the Rfam family "Bacterial small subunit ribosomal RNA", at positions 338 to 795 of the family's 1533-position model. The record is from RNAcentral.
CCUACGGGAGGCAGCAGUGAGGAAUAUUGGUCAAUGGGCGGAAGCCUGAACCAGCCAAGUCGCGUGAGGGAAUAAGGCCCUACGGGUCGUAAACCUCUUUUGCCGGGGAGCAAGGGCCGGGACGAGUCCCGGUCCGGAGAGUACCCGGAGAAAAAGCAUCGACUAACUCCGGGCCAGCAGCCGCGGUAAUACGGAGGAUGCGAGCGUUAUCCGGAGUUAUGGGGUUUAAGGGGUGCGUAGGCGGGCUUUUAAGUCGGCGGUAAAAAUUCGGGGCUCAACCCCGUCCGGCCGUUGAAACUGGGGGCCUUGAGUGGGCGAGAGGAAGGCGGAAUGCGUGGGGUAGCGGUGAAAUGCAUAGAUAUCACGCAGAACCCCGAUUGCGAAGGCAGCCUUCCGGCGCCCUACUGACGCUGAGGCACGAAAGUGCGGGGAUCGAACAGGAUUAGAUACCCGAGUAGUC